UUUUUGAUUAAUAAUUUAAAGUCUAAUCUGCCCACUGAUAAUAUAUUAAAGGGCUGCAGUAUUUUGACUGUACAAAGGUAGCAUAAUCAAUAGUCUCUUAAAUGGUGACUUGUAUGAAAGAUUUAAUGAGAUAUAUACUGUCUCUUUUUAAUUUAUAAAAUUUAAUUUUUUAGUUAAAAAGCUAAAAUAUAUUUAAAAGACGAGAAGACCCUAUAGAGUUUAAUAUUUAAUUAAAUUAAAAUUAUUUAUAAAAUUUAAAAUUUUAAUUUAUAAUAAAUAUUUUGUUGGGGUGAUAAAAAAAUAAAAAGAACUUUUUUUAUAAAUUUACAUUAAUAAAUGAAUAAAUGAUCCGUAAUUUACGAUUAAAAGAAAAAAUUACCUUAGGGAUAACAGCGUAAUUUUUUUUUUUAGUUCAAAUAAGAAAAAAAGUUUGCGACCUCGAUGUUGGAUUAAGAUAAAAUUUAAAUGCAAAAGUUUAAAAUUUUUGAUCUGUUCGAUCAUUAAAAUCUUACA
RNAcentral lists this ribosomal RNA (513 nucleotides) under Parnassius jacobsoni. Its description in RNAcentral is "partial 16S ribosomal RNA". The stretch from base 386 to 513 matches the Rfam family "Bacterial large subunit ribosomal RNA", at positions 2473 to 2600 of the family's 2925-position model. Lineage: Eukaryota; Metazoa; Arthropoda; Insecta; Lepidoptera; Papilionidae. The record is from RNAcentral.